CUCAAACCUCCGCUUAUAUCAGAAUCACUGGGGGCUUGUGGAAACACAGGUAGCUGGGCCCCAACCCAGAGUUUCUGAUGUAGGCCUGGGCGGGGCCUAAGAAUCUGCAUUUCUGACAAGUUCCAGGUGCUGAUGCUGCUGGCGGACGACCACACUUUGAGAACCUCUCUGUCUCCCAAAUCGCUCUCCUGAUGGUUGCCCAAAGACAGACCAGGUCACUCUGCAGAGACCCUGCUUGCCUGACCGGGCACCGCCUCCUCUCAGGGAGCGCGGCACGGCUGAAAGAACCAGGAAGGGCAGGGCCCUGUCUCGUUCGUCUGUCAACCAUUUGCCAGGCAGCUUCCGUAUCUGCUGACCCAUAAAACCCACAGAUGUAAAUGACACACCCCAAUUUCAUAAGGAAACAUUUUUUUAAAAAAUUCAUUUCUUUUAUCAUAACCGUACCAAAAGCUUCUCCUUUUGUUCAGGUAAAUCGAGUAUUACAGGCAGGAAUAUUUUUGUUAAGAAAUGACCAAUAGGAGUCAAUGGGAAGUGAAAUGAUUCUCCCUGCCGUCUGUUUUGUGUUUCCACGCUUCGCCGCCAGGGGCUGGUGUAUUUUUUUUUGGCACUAAAGCUUCCAUCCUCAAAGCUGAUGCUUUGGAUACCAGGUAACUGGUGGAUCCGUGAUACAGACGCAGAUUCAUAUGUGGAUGUGGCUUCAGAGACAGAUAGAGCUGCAGAUACAGACACAGCUGAAGAUGCAGAAGUGAUGUUCCCUAAGGAGAAAGGACACACUUCCUCCCUCCCCUUCCCUCGGCCUAGAAUGUGGAUGCGGAGGGAGCCAACGUGGACACAUCCAGAUGGCAGAGCAACGAGGUGGACGGGGCCUGGGUGCCUAGAAAGCCUCGUGGAGAAAGAUCAACGUUCCAGUCCUGGGCAAUCCUCCCGGGGUCGUCACGGGAGAGAGAAGCCAGCUCCACUCUGACAUGGCUCUGACUAAUACGUCACACACCAUGGCCUCCAGCGGACAAAAAGCUCCUUGAGGCCCCGCUGAGGGGAAAACAGAAAUUCCUGGUGGAUGACACAGGCCCGGCGGCCGCCGGAGAGCCGAGCACGGGACCGGCUGCGCCCCGCCCGCCGCCCGCGGGGCCCGCGCGUCCUCGGCUGAGCGCAGAGCGGCCGGCGGCCGGGAAGUCGCGGCGCCCGCGGAUGGGGAGCCCGCCGUCCCGAGCGCCCGCGGCCGGGAACAGAGCCGGGGACGGAGCCAGGCCGC
RNAcentral lists this long non-coding RNA (1252 nucleotides) under Equus asinus (donkey). RNAcentral's name for it is "lncRNA (ENSEASG00005036176.1)". Lineage: Eukaryota; Metazoa; Chordata; Mammalia; Perissodactyla; Equidae. The record is from RNAcentral.